CAGACAGUUUCCCCCUUUGUUGCUCAAGCCUUGCAUUCUCUCAGUCUAGCCGAAGUCUAGCCAGAAAGAAAAGGAACGUUUCUUCCCGGUAGCCCUUCCUCCAGGCCCAGGAUUCCUUCAUCAGGCUUUGACCAUUUGGAUCAGGUCCUCACCCCCGCACUGAGGCGGGGCAUGCAGGGCACUGAUUCACCCAGCCUGGGUCACGUGCUUCUGGCCUGGCAACACCUGGAUUGAGUGGGAAGGACCUGGUUCCUCCUAAGGCAUCAAGGUGCUGCUUUAAACAGAAGGGAGGAUGCAUGAUGGUACAGUAAUCACAGUAAUAGAUGCCCACUGCCCUGAGCGGGUGCAGUAAGCACAGUAAUAGAUGCCCAUUGCCAUGAAGGGUGAACUGAGCACAGUAAUAGAUGCCCACUGCCCUGAGUGGGUGAAGUAAGCACAGUAAUAGAUGCCCACUGCCCUGAGCUGGUGCAGGAAGCACAGUAAUAGAUGCCCAUUGCCAUGAAGGGUGAACUGAGCACAGUAAUAGAUGCCCACUGCCCUGAGUGGGUGAAGUAAGCACAGUAAUAGAUGGCCACGGCCCUGACCUGGUGGAGGAAGCACAGUAAUACACGCUCACUGCCCUGAGAGGGUGCAGUAAGCACAAUAAUAGAUGCCCACUGCCCUGAGCGGGUGAAGAAAGCACAGUAACAGACACCCACGGCCCUGAGCAGGUGAAGUAAGCACAGUAAUAGACACCCACUGUGGUGAGCGGAUGAAGCAAGCACAGUAAUAGACGCCCACUGCCCUGAGAGGGUGCAGUAAGCACAGUAAUAGACACCCCCUGUCCUGAGCUGGUGAAGUAAGCACAGUAAUAGACGCCGACUGCCAUUAACGGGUGAAGUGAACACAGUAGUAGACACCCACUGCACUGAGCGGGUGCAGGAAGCACACUAAUAUAAACCCACUGUCCUGAAUGGGUGCAUUAAGCCAGUAAUAGAUGCACACUGCCCUGAGCGGGUGAAGUAAGCCCAGUAAUAGAUCAACACUGCCCUGAGUGGGUGAAGUAAGCACAGUAAUAGAUGCACACUGCCCUGAGCGGAUGAAGCAAGCACAGUAAUAGAUGCCCACUGUCCUGAGCGGAUGAAGCAAGCACAGUAAUGGAUGCCCACUGUCCUGAGCCGAUGAAGCAAGCACAGUAAUAGCCGCCCACUGCCAUGAGAGGCUGCAGUAAGCAUAGUAAUAGCCGCCCACUGCCAUGAGAGGGUGCAGUAAGCACAGUAAUAGACACCCCCUGUCCUGAGCUGGUGAAGUAAGCACAGUAAUAGAUGCCGACUGCCAUUAACGGGUGAAGUAAACACAGUAGUAGACACCCACUGCACUGAGCGGGUGCAGGAAGCACACUAAUAUAUACCCACUGUCCUGAAUGGGUGCAUUAAGCCAGUAAUAGAAGCACACUGCCCUGAGCGGGUGACGUAAGCCCAGUAAUAGAUGCACACUGCCCUGAGUGGGUGAAGUAAGCCCAGUAAUAGAUGCACACUGCCCUGAGGGGGUGAAGUAAGCCCAGUAAUAGAUGCACACUGCCCUGAGCGGGUGAAGUAAGCACAGUAAUAGAUGCCCACUGCCCUGAGCGGGUGAAGUAAGCCCAGUAAUAGAUGCACACUGCCCUGAGCGGGUGAAGUAAGCACAGUAAUAGAUGCCCACUGUCCUGAGCGGAUGAAGCAAGCACAGUAAUAGCCGCCCACUGCCAUGAGAGGCUGCAGUAAGCAUAGUAAUAGCCACCCACUGCCAUGAGAGGGUGCAGUAAGCACAGUAAUAGACACCCCCUGUCCUGAGCUGGUGAAGUAAGCACAGUAAUAGAUGCCCACUGUCCUGAGCCGAUGAAGCAAGCACAGUAAUAGCCGCCCACUGCCAUGAGAGGGUGCAGUAAGCACAGUAAUAGACACCCCCUGUCCUGAGCUGGUGAAGUAAGCACAGUAAUAGACGCUGACUGCCACUAACGGGUGAAGUAAACACAGUAGUAGACACCCACUGCACUGAGCGGGUGCAGGAAGCACACUAAUAUAUACCCACUGUCCUGAAUGGGUGCAUUAAGCCAGUAAUAGAAGCACACUGCCCUGAGCGGGUGAAGUAAGCCCAGUAAUAGAUGCACACUGCCCUGAGCGGGUGAAGUAAGCCCAGUAAUAGAUGCACACUGCCCUGAACGGGUGAAGUAAGCCCAGUAAUACAUGCACACUGCCCUCAGCUCUUGAAGGAGGGAGCACUUAGCCAGGGGUCCCUGCAAUGGAUGGGAAGCACAUCAACUCAGCUGAACUGGAACUUCCUUUCCCAGCAUUCACCUCUCUGCACAGUUCUCAGUUAGCACGUGUGGGCCACAAGGGCCGUAUUGCCCUAGGUUGGCAGGCGGAGCUGCAGUGGAGGCUGUCUCCUCAGUGCUCUGGAGGUCGGUGCACAUAGGAGGCAUCUCUGGGGCUCCCACCGGGCAGAUCUGCUGGCUCACUGGCGUUAUGUGGCAGCAGCCAGGCCCACAGCCCCUCCAGCAACUGCUGGGUCCUCCUUUGGCUUCUCCAGUGCUGGGCCAUGAAGAAGGUUGCCGGCUGCUCCUGCAGGACACCCUCAUGGGUGAACCUGGAGGCCGGCAGAAGCUGAGAGGCUGAUGCGGUGCCAGGCCCAGUUUGUCCUUGCGUCCUCCACCUUGGAUCCAUCUUCCCCUCCCAAUCGCUAGGCUCCAGGCUCCAGGACCAGACACAGAAGCAAUGGCUUUGUGUAGACGGUUUGACCACCUCCCACAAUGGGAUAAGGUCAGACCCCUAUACUACAUCCUUCAUGAUGUGGAAUCUCCCGGUGGCUCUGCUCCUCUGAUGGAACCCUGGCAGGGACAGCCCCUGAGCUGCCUGCUCUGAGACAUCCUGAUAAGCACAAGAAUGGCACCUGGGACCAAUGCCGGGAGGAGCCUCCAUCCCUGCCUGUGAAGAUUCCCAGGGUCACCCCAGGCACCAUCUGUAGUCCACUUCAGUCAGGCACCCAAGUCCAUUUUGGAAGAAGCUUUGGCCCUGGGAAAAAACCUGGAUUUGAGUCACUCCAUGGGGACACAAAGCACCAUGUGAGCUGAGACAUCUCCCCACAGCCACUCCACCUCCCCAGUUUAUACCAACAGAAACACCCUCACUGCGUGCGUC
Equus caballus (horse) is the source of this 3155-nucleotide long non-coding RNA. NCBI's taxonomy places the organism in Eukaryota, Metazoa, Chordata, Mammalia, Perissodactyla, Equidae. The record is from Ensembl.